This 253-nucleotide ribosomal RNA is filed under the name uncultured bacterium. RNAcentral's name for it is "partial 16S ribosomal RNA". It matches the Rfam family "Bacterial small subunit ribosomal RNA", at positions 524 to 776 of the family's 1533-position model. The record is from RNAcentral.
GACGGAGGGGGCUAGCGUUGUUCGGAAUGACUGGGCGUAAAGGGCGCGUAGGCGGCCGCUUGCGUCGGAUGUGAAAGCCCGGGGCUCAACCCCGGAACGGCAUCCGAUACGGGGCGGCUCGAGACCGAGAGAGGUGAGUGGAAUACCCAGUGUAGAGGUGAAAUUCGUAGAUAUUGGGUGGAACACCGGUGGCGAAAGCGGCUCACUGGCUCGGUUCUGACGCUGAGGCGCGAAAGCGUGGGGAGCAAACAGG